GAUGAACGCUAGCUACAGGCUUAACACAUGCAAGUCGAGGGGCAGCAUGGUCUUAGCUUGCUAAGGCCGAUGGCGACCGGCGCACGGGUGAGUAAACACGUAUCCAACCUGCCGUCUACUCUUGGACAGCCUUCUGAAAGGAAGAUUAAUACAAGAUGGCAUCAUGAGUCCGCAUGUUCACAUGAUUAAAGGUAUUCCGGUAGACGAUGGGGAUGCGUUCCAUUAGAUAGUAGGCGGGGUAACGGCCCACCUAGUCUUCGAUGGAUAGGGGUUCUGAGAGGAAGGUCCCCCACAUUGGAACUGAGACACGGACCAAACUCCUACGGGAGGCAGCAGUGAGGAAUAUUGGUCAAAUGGACGCAAAGUCUGAACCAGCCAAUGCCGCGUGCAGGAAGACGGCUCUAUGAGUUGUAAACUGCUUUUGUAUGAGGGUAAAAUCGGGUACGUGUACCUGACUGAAAGUAAUCAUACGAAUAA
Molecule: ribosomal RNA, 477 nt
Filed under: uncultured bacterium
Lineage: Bacteria
Description: bacterial SSU rRNA
Rfam family: Bacterial small subunit ribosomal RNA
Source: RNAcentral